GACGAACGCUGGCGGCGUGCUUAACACAUGCAAGUCGAACGGAAAGGCCCUGCUUUUGUGGGGUGCUCGAGUGGCGAACGGGUGAGUAACACGUGAGUAACCUGCCCUUGACUUUGGGAUAACUUCAGGAAACUGGGGCUAAUACCGGAUAGGAGCUCCUGCUGCAUGGUGGGGGUUGGAAAGUUUCGGCGGUUGGGGAUGGACUCGCGGCUUAUCAGCUUGUUGGUGGGGUAGUGGCUUACCAAGGCUUUGACGGGUAGCCGGCCUGAGAGGGUGACCGGCCACAUUGGGACUGAGAUACGGCCCAGACGGCUACGGGAGGCAGCAGUGGGGAAUAUUGCGCAAUGGGCGGAAGCCUGAUGCAGCAGCGCCGCGUGCGGGAUGACGGCCUUCGGGUUGUAAACCGCUUUCGCCUGUGACGAAGCGUGAGUGACGGUAAUGGGUAAAGAAGCACCGGCUAACUACGUG
RNAcentral lists this ribosomal RNA (468 nucleotides) under uncultured bacterium. RNAcentral's name for it is "partial 16S ribosomal RNA". It matches the Rfam family "Bacterial small subunit ribosomal RNA", at positions 28 to 507 of the family's 1533-position model. The record is from RNAcentral.